RNAcentral lists this long non-coding RNA (310 nucleotides) under Malus domestica (apple). RNAcentral's name for it is "long non-coding RNA (MDOM_LNC005983)". Lineage: Eukaryota; Viridiplantae; Streptophyta; Magnoliopsida; Rosales; Rosaceae. The record is from RNAcentral.
UUAAUUUUGGUUGUAAUUUGAUUUGAUCAAAUGUUGUAAAAGGGCUUAAGCUCUUCUUUACUUUAAAGUAAUUUAUUUUAUGCAAAUGUUGUAAUGAGCAUAAGCUCACCUUUACUUUGAAGUACUUCUUUCUUGCUUUUUAUGAUAUGCAUGAAAAUGAAGUAGUUGGGUCCAACGCCCCUAAGACAACACGCCUUAAUGUGAUUAAAUGCGUAACUAAAAUCAAUCACCAUCCCUAGAUCGAGAUUCAACACAAGGCUCGUGUUGAAUCUAAACAAAGGUUCAUAAUCAUCCUAAGGCCCUAAGGCAA